AGUCUUUACUGAAACUUCUUGAGAAAUCUUGAGCCAGUACCACAUAGCUAAACUGCCAGAUUCUUGACUCACAAAAACUGCAACAUGACGGAGUCUCGCUCUGUCGCCCAGGAUGGAGUGCAGUGGUGCGAUCUCGGCUCACUGCAAGCUCCGCCUCCUGGGUUCACGCCAUUCUCCUGCCUCAGCCUCCGUGGUAGCUGGGACUACAGGUUUUGAGACUCAGACUGGUUUCCUUGCUCCUCAGCUUGCAGAUAACCUAUUGUGGAACUUCACCUUGUGAUUGUGGCCAGUUCUUCAGAAUCUGCUUUUUCUCCUGAAAUCAGGCCAUGUGAAAAGAAGAUGUUGCCUCCUGGCACAGAUCAUUCAUCCUGCCUGGUCCUCAGUCAAGUCUCCAGCAGCUUGGGAUGUCUGAAGAAUGACAAGCCUAAGAGUCAAGGCCCGGGGAUGCCCAACAUACAUUCUAUAAGUGGGGAAAGUGGAUAAAAUGUUUUCUGUGUGGAAAGGACAAAUAACAGUUAAUUUCUACUGGAAAAGUAAGAAAAACCAUAAUUAAAAUUGCUCAAAAGUAAA
Pongo pygmaeus (Bornean orangutan) is the source of this 570-nucleotide long non-coding RNA. RefSeq lists it as uncharacterized. Lineage: Eukaryota; Metazoa; Chordata; Mammalia; Primates; Hominidae. The record is from RefSeq and is a predicted model, not a curated record. The transcript is spliced from 4 exons.